UACGGCAAGGAUGAGUCACCAGACUGUGAGCUGGGAGCAAAUCAGGGAUGAGGAGCCCAUCCUGAAAUAUAAUCAGUCUUGUCUCAUCGCUGUAACUCCCGUACGGCUCGACAGAGGCAAAGGUCGAGAGCCGUGCAUCCUCCAAAACACAGUUUCAUCAGCUGUCUGGGUGGCUGGUCUCAGAUGAUCCUGCAGAUGAAGAAGACCAAUGUGGAGGUCCUGGGCUGGUGUAGUUAAACAAGUUCCCUGCUAUCAUCAGAUUUGGACGGAGGAGCCUCUAUCUGAGCCAGGCUACUGUGGAAAGAGGAUUGUUGACCCUCCCUACCCACCCUGCUCAUUCCCUGAGGACCCACCCUGUUGCUGGUUGGGUGUCGCUCCCCGCUCUGCCUGGUGGUGGCCCUCGGGAGCUUUGAGAGC
Long non-coding RNA from Oncorhynchus masou masou (cherry salmon), 417 nucleotides. RefSeq lists it as uncharacterized. NCBI's taxonomy places the organism in Eukaryota, Metazoa, Chordata, Actinopteri, Salmoniformes, Salmonidae. The transcript is spliced from 3 exons. The record is from RefSeq and is a predicted model, not a curated record.